UACGUAGGUGGCGAGCGUUGUCCGGAUUUACUGGGCGUAAAGGGAGCGUAGACGGACUUUUAAGUGAGAUGUGAAAUACCCGGGCUCAACUUGGGUGCUGCAUUUCAAACUGGAAGUCUAGAGUGCAGGAGAGGAGAAUGGAAUUCCUAGUGUAGCGGUGAAAUGCGUAGAGAUUAGGAAGAACACCAGUGGCGAAGGCGAUUCUCUGGACUGUAACUGACGCUGAGGCUCGAAAGCGUGGGGAGCAAACAGGAUUAGAUACCCGGGUAGU
This 271-nucleotide ribosomal RNA is filed under the name uncultured prokaryote. RNAcentral describes it as "partial 16S ribosomal RNA". It matches the Rfam family "Bacterial small subunit ribosomal RNA", at positions 524 to 794 of the family's 1533-position model. The record is from RNAcentral.